RNAcentral lists this ribosomal RNA (626 nucleotides) under Fusarium acuminatum. RNAcentral's name for it is "eukaryotic LSU rRNA". The stretch from base 297 to 450 matches the Rfam family "5.8S ribosomal RNA". Lineage: Eukaryota; Fungi; Ascomycota; Sordariomycetes; Hypocreales; Nectriaceae. The record is from RNAcentral.
CUUACUAUCCAAUUGUUUUUUAAAAGGAAUUUUUUUUUUUUUUGAUCGAAUUAAAAUUCAGAUUUUUUGUUCCUGGGGGCCCUUUAGGGAUUCCCGGAGAUUCGUGGAAACUCGAGUUCCGUGGUGAACCUGCGGAGGGAUCAUUACCGAGUUUACAACUCCCAAACCCCUGUGAACAUACCUUUAUGUUGCCUCGGCGGAUCAGCCCGCGCCCCGUAAAACGGGACGGCCCGCCGCAGGAACCACAAAACUCUGAUUUUAGUGUAACUUCUGAGUCUAAAAAACAAAUAAAUCAAAACUUUCAACAACGGAUCUCUUGGUUCUGGCAUCGAUGAAGAACGCAGCAAAAUGCGAUAAGUAAUGUGAAUUGCAGAAUUCAGUGAAUCAUCGAAUCUUUGAACGCACAUUGCGCCCGCCAGUAUUCUGGCGGGCAUGCCUGUUCGAGCGUCAUUUCAACCCUCAAGCCCCCGGGUUUGGUGUUGGGGAUCGGGCUGUACUCCAGCCCGGCCCCGAAAUCUAGUGGCGGUCUCGCUGCAGCCUCCAUUGCGUAGUAGCUAACACCUCGCAACUGGAACGCGGCGCGGCCAAGCCGUUAAACCCCCAACUUCNGAAUGUGACCUCGGAUC